Molecule: unclassified non-coding RNA, 1857 nt
Filed under: Hevea brasiliensis (rubber tree)
Lineage: Eukaryota; Viridiplantae; Streptophyta; Magnoliopsida; Malpighiales; Euphorbiaceae
Source: RNAcentral
GGUACAACUAUUUUCUGCCAUUGGCCAAGACAAUCCUUUCUCCUUUGUUUUUAUGGUUCUUUCUUUUCUUUGCUUAAAAAAGGCGAUUUUACCAAGAUGUAGAGAGUUUUCUCUCUAGAUCAUAGGUUUUUCUCCCAUUUUUGAAAGGCUUUUAGACCAAAAAAAAAAAAAUCUUAAGCUGCAGUCUUCUCCAAGGAUAUGGAUCAAACACAGACAGCUUUAACAAGAGUUGUUUAUCUCUUCACCCAUCCCUUCUUACUUCUUGUACUCUUUAUCUUUAUCAUCAUCAAGCACUUCAACUGUCCAUCUUCGAAAAGGCAGCCUCUUCCUCCAGGUCCCAAAGCAUGGCCUAUCGUAGGCAACCUUCUCCAUAUUGGAAAAAUGCCACAUAUCUCCAUGACCCAAUACGCCAAAGCUCAUGGCCCUCUAAUUUCACUGAGGCUUGGUACCCGAGUCCUCAUUGUUGGAUCUUCUCCGAUGGCAGCUGUAGAAAUUCUCAAGACAAAUGAUCGUUUGCUAUCUGCUAGAUGUGUGCCAAAAGCAAGUCCCUAUGAAAGCCAAGUACUUGAACGAAUAGCGCUUGUUUGGGCCCCGCAAUGCACCGACGGAUGGAAAUCCUUGCGAGCCUUAUGCAGGACUGAGCUGUUUUCAGCCAAAGCAUUGGAGUCGCAAGCCAGUUUGAGAGAGAAGAAAGUUGCCCAGAUGGUAAAAUUUUUGGAAACCAGACAAGGAAAACUUAUUAAUGUUGGAGAAGUAGUGUUCACUACCGUUUUUAACACGCUAUCCAGUCUCUUUUUCUCAAAAGACUUCAUUGGUUUGGAAGAUAAAGGAGUGGCCAGUGGAUUGAAAAAUCUUAUCUGGAAGAUUAUGGAAUUGGCCAUUACUCCAAAUAUAGCUGAUUUUUAUCCUAUACUUGCCGGGUUGGAUCCUCAAGGACUAAGAAGGAAGAGUUUAAAAUGUGGUCAAGAAAUGGUUGCCCUUUGGGAAAUGUACGUAAAGGAAAGAAGGCAAAAGCAUGGCCAAGAUACUCCAAGAAACGAUUUCUUGGAUGUAUUUCUUGCAAAUGGAUUUCAGGACGAUCAAAUCAAUUGGUUGACUCUUGAAUUGUUCAGUGCAGGCACAGACACUACUACGACGACAAUAGAGUGGGCAGUGGCUGAGCUUAUCAAGAACAAACAAGUCAUGAGCAAAGUUCGUGAAGAGCUAGACAGAGAAAUCAACAAAGACUGGAUACAUGAAUCUCAGGUUUCUCAACUUCCUUAUUUAAAUGCAUGCAUAAAGGAAACUCUGAGAUUACACCCUCCUGUUCCAUUCUUAAUUCCACGUCGUGCUGUUGAGAAUUGUGAAGUUAUGAAUUACACCAUUCCAAAAGAUUCUCAGAUAUUAGUCAAUGUUUGGGCUAUUGGGCGUGAUUCCUCUGCUUGGGAAGAUCCUUUGUUAUUUAAACCUGAAAGGUUUCUUGGCUCAAGUUUGGACUUAAAGGGUCGUGACUUUGAGUUCCUACCUUUCGGUUCAGGAAGGAGGAUUUGCCCCGGACUGCCAAUGGCUACAAGACAACUUCCAUUGAUUUUGGCCUCUUUAAUACAUUGCUUUGAUUGGUCUCUUGAAAAUGGUGUGGAUCCUGCCGAGUUAAACAUGACCGAAAAGUUUGGCAUAACAUUGCAAAAGGAACAUCCUCUACUUAUUGUUCCUAAAAGAAAACUAUAAUUUCAAUGGAUGUUUGUUAAGUAUGUGCCAAAGAUAUUUUCUUUAAUAAUAUUGGCAAUGACUUCAGUCUUUGCUCUAGCGAUAUGGAUUUUUCUUAUUCUUGCAUUUGUCUAUUUGUUAAUUUUCUGCACUAGUGGAAGUGAGCAUGAG